Molecule: ribosomal RNA, 249 nt
Filed under: uncultured Pseudomonas sp.
Lineage: Bacteria; Pseudomonadati; Pseudomonadota; Gammaproteobacteria; Pseudomonadales; Pseudomonadaceae
Description: partial 16S ribosomal RNA
Rfam family: Bacterial small subunit ribosomal RNA
Source: RNAcentral
UGGGCACUCUAAGGAGACUGCCGGUGACAAACCGGAGGAAGGUGGGGAUGACGUCAAGUCAUCAUGGCCUUACGGCCUGGGCUACACACGUGCUACAAUGGUCGGUACAAAGGGUUGCCAAGCCGCGAGGUGGAGCUAAUCCCAUAAACCGAUCGUAGUCCGGAUCGCAGUCUGCAACUCGACUGCGUGAAGUCGGAAUCGCUAGUAAUCGUGAAUCAGAAUGUCACGGUGAAUACGUUCCCGGGCCUU